UUGGCGGGCUCGAUCGCUGUCGCUGCUCCCCAAAGGGAUUCUACGCAGUCAGCAAAGUGCUUCCAAGGACCACGGCGCCAUAGUCUGCUCCUAAAAUCUUGGAGUCGUCGGUUUACCGGAAACCCAGUACGCACUCGUCCCGAUCCAGGACAUCGUUAGCACAUCAAAAAGGGGACAUAAACAACCUCCAUAACGAGAUUUUUAUGGAGCGAACGUGAGAAAACUAGCUCAGCCAUUGUGAGGGCCGCUCGAUCCGUGCGCAAAUCCAGACGACAAAGGAGAGGAGAGGAAGGCACAGAGCUAUAUAUAUGGGCAACUCCGGAAGUAGAGUCCCUGCACUGCUAAGAAAGACCCAUGUUCCAGAUUUUGAAUGGAAGAUUCAUGACUUCUUGGCGCUAGUUGAGACGAAAGCUACAUCAGUGAUCUCUGGUCCUUUUGAUAACUCUGGGUAUA
Long non-coding RNA from Lolium perenne, 453 nucleotides. RefSeq lists it as uncharacterized. The record is from RefSeq and is a predicted model, not a curated record. Lineage: Eukaryota; Viridiplantae; Streptophyta; Magnoliopsida; Poales; Poaceae.